UGGAUCAAAGCCAGUUGACUAGGGUAUUUAGCUGUUAACUAAAUUUUUAUGGGUUUAAAUCCCAUUGGUCUAG
RNAcentral lists this transfer RNA (73 nucleotides) under Cercopithecus albogularis moloneyi. RNAcentral's name for it is "tRNA-Asn". It matches the Rfam family "tRNA". Rfam says of the family: Transfer RNA (tRNA) molecules are approximately 80 nucleotides in length. Their secondary structure includes four short double-helical elements and three loops (D, anti-codon, and T loops). The record is from RNAcentral. Lineage: Eukaryota; Metazoa; Chordata; Mammalia; Primates; Cercopithecidae.